UCUCGCGUCAGGAUAUGCCUAGGUGGGAUUAGCUAGUUGGUGAGGUAAGGGCUCACCAAGGCGACGAUCCCUAGCUGGUCUGAGAGGAUGAUCAGCCACACUGGAACUGAGACACGGUCCAGACUCCUACGGGAGGCAGCAGUGGGGAAUAUUGCACAAUGGGCGCAAGCCUGAUGCAGCCAUGCCGCGUGUGUGAAGAAGGCCUUCGGGUUGUAAAGCACUUUCAGUCGUGAGGAAGGUAGUGUAGUUAAUAG
RNAcentral lists this ribosomal RNA (254 nucleotides) under Vibrio parahaemolyticus. Its description in RNAcentral is "partial 16S ribosomal RNA". It matches the Rfam family "Bacterial small subunit ribosomal RNA", at positions 213 to 465 of the family's 1533-position model. The record is from RNAcentral. Lineage: Bacteria; Pseudomonadati; Pseudomonadota; Gammaproteobacteria; Vibrionales; Vibrionaceae.